GGGCUUGUGGUUUAGUGGUAUAAUACUCCCUUAGCACGGGAGUGGUCCGGGGUUCGAUUCCCCGCGAGUCCA
RNAcentral lists this transfer RNA (72 nucleotides) under Penicillium steckii. It matches the Rfam family "tRNA". Rfam says of the family: Transfer RNA (tRNA) molecules are approximately 80 nucleotides in length. Their secondary structure includes four short double-helical elements and three loops (D, anti-codon, and T loops). The record is from Rfam by way of RNAcentral. Lineage: Eukaryota; Fungi; Ascomycota; Eurotiomycetes; Eurotiales; Aspergillaceae.